Molecule: ribosomal RNA, 492 nt
Filed under: uncultured bacterium
Lineage: Bacteria
Description: partial 16S ribosomal RNA
Rfam family: Bacterial small subunit ribosomal RNA
Source: RNAcentral
AUUGAACGCUGGCGGCAUGCUUUACACAUGCAAGUCGAACGGUAACAGGCCUUCGGGUGCUGUCGAGUGGCGAACGGGUGAGUAAUGCAUCGGAACGUACCCAGAGGUGGGGGAUAACGCAGCGAAAGCUGUGCUAAUACCGCAUGUGAUCUGAGGAUGAAAGCGGGGGACCGAGCAGCAAUGUUUGGCCUCGCGCCUUUGGAGCGGCCGAUGUCGGAUUAGCUAGUUGGUGGGGUAAAGGCAUACCAAGGCGACGAUCCGUAGCUGGUCUGAGAGGACGACCAGCCACACUGGGACUGAGACACGGCCCAGACUCCUACGGGAGGCAGCAGUGGGGAAUGUUGGACAAUGGGCGCAAGCCUGAUCCAGCAAUGCCGCGUGCGUGAAGAAGGCCUUCGGGUUGUAAACCGCUUUUGGCAGGAACGAAACGGUGUCCGCUAAUACCGGGCGCUAAUGACGGUACCUGCAGAAUAAGCACCGGCUAACUACGUG